UUAAAAUGUAAAUAGAAAUUCUAAAUUAGUAUUAGUUAUGUUCUUUAAAGUUAAAGAUUUUGGCGGUAUUUUAGUCUUUUCAGAGGAACUUGUUCUAUAAUCGAUAAUCCACGAUUAAUUUUACUUAUUUUAAUUAAUUUGUAUAUCGUCGUAGUAUGAAUAUUUUAUAAGAAUUUAAAUAUUCUUAAUUUUUUAUAAAAAAAGAAAUCAGAUCAAGGUGCAGUUGAUAAGUAAGUAGUAAUGAGUUACAAUAAUUUUAUUUAUAUGGUAUAAAAUCUGAAAGGGUUUUAUUAAAGUGGAUUUGAAAGUAAUAUAUUUUAUUUAAAAUAUAUGAUUUAAGCUCUAAAAUAUGC
RNAcentral lists this ribosomal RNA (353 nucleotides) under Olophrum consimile. RNAcentral's name for it is "partial 12S ribosomal RNA". The record is from RNAcentral. Lineage: Eukaryota; Metazoa; Arthropoda; Insecta; Coleoptera; Staphylinidae.